Corvus hawaiiensis (hawaiian crow) is the source of this 487-nucleotide long non-coding RNA. RefSeq lists it as uncharacterized. The transcript has 2 exons. The record is from RefSeq and is a predicted model, not a curated record. NCBI's taxonomy places the organism in Eukaryota, Metazoa, Chordata, Aves, Passeriformes, Corvidae.
AAAGUAAGGACCUUUCCUGGCUGAGACUUCAGUGCUGUGACUGGUUGACUGGACAGAACAACUUGUCAUCUUGAUCAAUGGAUGUUUCUCACAAUAUGCUUCAAAUAAGAAAUGGGUACAUUUACUUCACCAUCUUUCUACUGGCAGAACCAGGCGGAGUUGAACUAUCUAUCCCCGUAUUCACCCUGAAAAGCAUGUAGUUCCAUUUCCUACUUGAAUCCUUGAACCCUACAAAGGAGCAUCAGUUACAGAAGAUGUCUGCAGGUCCCUCUUGGUGACCUUAAAGACCCAAAUGCAGAUGAUGUACCAGUAACAAGCAAAAAAAUUCAGAGGAAAAUAGAACUUAAACCCCUUAUCUCUGGAGGAAGUUGUUCUUCUCCCAGAAAAAAAGGCUGUGAGGUUUUGGAAGGUGGGCAGAAAUGCUUAACAAUACAACAAAUACACAAAACAUCUACAAUAAAUAUAAUACAGAACUAAUUUAUUUCAA